This 459-nucleotide ribosomal RNA is filed under the name uncultured bacterium. Its description in RNAcentral is "partial 16S ribosomal RNA". It matches the Rfam family "Bacterial small subunit ribosomal RNA", at positions 338 to 795 of the family's 1533-position model. The record is from RNAcentral.
CCUACGGGAGGCUGCAGUGAGGAAUAUUGGUCAAUGGCCGGAAGGCUGAACCAGCCAAGCCGCGUGAAGGACGAAGGUGCCAAGCAUUGUAAACUUCUUUUGUCAAGGGACAAAAUCAGGCUCGAGAGCCUGACCGAGGGUACUUGAAGAAAAAGCAUCGGCUAACUCCGUGCCAGCAGCCGCGGUAAUACGGAGGAUGCGAGCGUUAUCCGGAUUUAUUGGGUUUAAAGGGUGCGUAGGCGGACUGUUAAGUCAGCGGUAAAAGCCCGGGGCUCAACCCCGGCGAGCCGUUGAAACUGGCGGUCUUGAGAUGGCGAGAGGUAUGCGGAAUGCGCGGUGUAGCGGUGAAAUGCUUAGAUAUCGCGCAGAACCCCGAUUGCGAAGGCAGCAUACCGGCGGCGAACUGACGCUGAGGCACGAAAGCGUGGGUAUCGAACAGGAUUAGAUACCCUAGUAGUC